AAAGAAAAAAAAAAGAAGAGAUGGGAAAAGGAGAGAGAAGAGAUAGCCGAUUGAAAAAAUGUAGUUAAAGAGUAAAUAAAUAAAAUAAUUUAUUUAAAGUGCCUUCUCCAUUUAAAGUGCUUUCUCUAUUUAAAGUGCAUAAUUAUGAACUAACUUUUAAAAAAGUGUCUAAUCACGUAAUAUUCUCUUUUUUUUUUAGGCACUUUUCAGGGAUGAGACAUUUUCUCUUGUUUCUGGAUGAUAAAAUGAUAAUUAUAUCCUUUUCAAACUAAACCAUCAAUUGCUUAACCGGUUAACAUGGUUUUGUUUGAAUUGAUAUCUAAUAAAACGACAGUUGAGAUUUGCAGAUGAGAAAGAGUUACCUUCACAAUUACAGGUCUUCCGAUUAUCUCACAAUCUCGAUGUUGAUGGCUGAUAAUUCUUCCGGCCAAUCUCUUUCUCAUCGCAAACCUCCAACAUCUUCUCCUUCCUCUAUAUCCACCACUGUUUCUUCUCCUAAAUCGCCAUUUCGUCUUCGUUUCGAGAAACCUCCAUCUAGAUUCGGGUUAUCGUUUCUGCAUCGUCUCCUCCGGGAGGAGUUUUAAAGAGGAAACGACCUACAAGGCUUGAUAUACCGAUUGGUGUUGCUGGAUUUGUAGCUCCGAUUUCUUCAUCGGCCGAUGUAGCUAUGACGUCGAGGGAGGAGUGUAGAGAGGUUGAAAGAGAAGGUGAUGGUUAUUUUGUUUAUUGUAAGAGAGGAAGAAGAGAAGCUAGAGAGGUUAUAUCAAGUUGGACUCCAAUGAUAAUGUUAGAUGAGCAAACAAAAAAGUGCUAAUUUUAUCGAUCUAUAAACACAUUCGCAGCAAAUCAAAGACAUACUUGUCCAUUAAUGAUUGUCCAAGCAAUUCAGUCCAUAUGGUCAUCUAAUGACUCACAUGGUAGUUUCAUACUAAUACAUACGUUUAUACAUAAACAAUAAACGCCAAUCCAAAGUACAUUAUCCAUGUCUCUUUGACCAUUUAUCCACAUGUGUAUAGACAUGUUGAUACAAUUUUAUCGAGCUAUAAACACAUUUGCAGCAAAUCAAAGACAUACUUGUCCAUUAAUGAUUGUCCAAGCAAUCCAGUCCAUAUGGUUAUCUAAUGACUCACAUGGUAGUUUCAUACUAAUACAUAAGUUAUACAUGAACAAUAAACGCCAAUCCAAAGUACAUUAUCCAUGUUUCCUUGACCAUUUAUCCACAUGUAUAUAGACAUGUUGAUACAAUUUUCUCGAGCUAUAAACACAUUCGCAGCAAAUCAAAGACAUACUUGUCCAUUAAUGAUUGUCCAAGCAGUCCAGUCCAUAUGAUCAUCUAAUGACUCACAUGUUAGUUUCAUAC
This 1360-nucleotide small RNA is filed under the name Arabidopsis thaliana (thale cress). RNAcentral's name for it is "ATSL098660". Lineage: Eukaryota; Viridiplantae; Streptophyta; Magnoliopsida; Brassicales; Brassicaceae. The record is from RNAcentral.